Molecule: long non-coding RNA, 241 nt
Filed under: Gallus gallus (chicken)
Lineage: Eukaryota; Metazoa; Chordata; Aves; Galliformes; Phasianidae
Source: RNAcentral
GGCACUGGAAUAAUAAGAGGAUCUUCUCCAAUAUGAGCAUCACAGUAUGCCAAUAAGUCUGCUGCAGCCUUGGAUACCUUCAUCCUAUCCAUGUAUGCUUCCAUUUUUAAUUGCUCCACAGCUUUCCUGGCUUGAGAUAUAUUGGUUGUACUGUUUGAUGUUAGUUCCUUCAUUUUGUUUUCCCUCCGGCGGCGCGCAGCUCCCGGCACGCGGCGAGGGUCGGCUCCCGGCGGGCGGCGGC